CCCCGGCCCCGUUAACCUCGGUGCUCACAGGGCCUCCCCCCCACGGCAGGAGAAACUGAGGCCCGUGCCCGUGGGACGAGCUCCUCGGGGACAGGCGGGGGCGCUCCGAGAGGAGGGUCUCCAGGGAGGGUGGGGGGCGCGGGACCCAGCUGAAGGCCUGUUGCGCACCUGCCCCGACUGCGGCCCGGAGGCCCCCGGAGGGGUCGCCCCAGGAGCGGGCGCGGGCGUGGACCCUGGUGGGCCGGCAGGGGAGCCGGGCGGGGUCCGGCGAGGCCAGGCCGAGAGCGCAGACGGCUCCCUUUCCCCCGCUCGGCAGACACCGGGUAUCGGAGCCCGAGGGAGAGGAGCCGUGGACAGGGAGGGGCCGGCGCACAUGCCCCCGCUUCCCAUCCACACUCAGGGUUCACCCGCGGCCUCUACACUCAGGAUCGCGUCCUGGCCUUUCUCUCCCUCGCCAUCAGCUUGGCUACUUCCACCCCGGAGCCCUCAUGCUGGACUUUUUUAAGAAGUUCGAGUGGGUCUAUUUCUGUUUGGGAGAUAGGGUGCCCUCCUCCCCUCGGAGGUGCUGGGGACAGGACAGGAGGGCCGACAGCGGGCACUGAUCCCUUUCCGAUGCGCACAGGCCAGGUCCAGGGGAAAGGGCAGCAGAAAUGGGGCCUGCAGCUGGGGGAAUCCUGUCUUGGAAAAAUUGUGGACAGAACUGCAACGGGUAAUCCCCACCCAAGCCCACGGGUCCCCUCGCAUCCAUGGCCCUCCUCUGGGGUGCAGGUAGGGGAGUCAUGGCAUGGUCCCCCCGCUGGGCUCUGCUGGGGGUGGAGAAGCUGUUUGUGCAGGGUAGACGCUCAGGGGCAAAGGAACCAAGGGGGGACAUGUCUGCCUGUGAAGCCAGGACAGCAGGGGGCCCUUCUCCCUCUUGUCUUCGCUGAAGGUGGGAAUGAAUCCUGGGUGUCCUCAGCCUUGGAGGGCGGGCAGAGGGGAAUGAGGAAGAAGAGGGCCUUGGGCUGGAGUUCUCCGUCCUCCACGCAGACCCUCCUCUCGCUGUCCCAGCCUGAGGCCCGGGGCCUGCUCCCUGCACUGGGGCCCCCAUCUGCCCACCCCAAGGUUUCCCUGGCGUUGAGGCCAGAGACCCCCUCAGGGCUCCACCCCCAGGAUUCUGCUUUGGGUCAGUGUCCUCUCCUGCUCGGGGUCGCCGCCCUGCCGAAACCCGGGAGGAAGGGCUGUGGAACGCCAUGAUGCCUCUGCCUACGUGGGAGGACCCUCGUCUCGGGGUGCAGACAAGUCCCCGUCGCCUGU
This 1293-nucleotide long non-coding RNA is filed under the name Vulpes vulpes (red fox). RNAcentral's name for it is "lncRNA (ENSVVUG00000013435.1)". The record is from RNAcentral. Lineage: Eukaryota; Metazoa; Chordata; Mammalia; Carnivora; Canidae.